GAUGAAGAACGUAGCGAAAUGCGAUAAGUAAUGUGAAUUGCAGAAUUCAGUGAAUCAUCGAAUCUUUGAACGCACCUUGCGCUCCUUGGUAUUCUGAGGAGCAUGCCUGUUUGAGUGUCAUUUAAUUCUCAAACUUUACCUAGUUUGCAAAAACUAGAUCAGGUUUGAAGUCUGGAAGUUGCUGGCUUUUUUUUAAGCUAGCUCUUCUAAAAUAUAUUAGCAGAAUUAUUGCUACUCAAUAUGGUAUGAUAAUUAUCUAUACCGUUGAAAGUAAGCUUUCUGAUUUUGCUUCUAAUUGUCUACCAAGACAACCUUGAUACCUUUGACCUCAAAUCAGGUAGGACUACCCGCUGAACUUAAGCAUAUCAAUAAGCGGAGGA
This 380-nucleotide unclassified non-coding RNA is filed under the name soil metagenome. RNAcentral describes it as "partial contains 5.8S ribosomal RNA, internal transcribed spacer 2, and large subunit ribosomal RNA". The stretch from base 1 to 120 matches the Rfam family "5.8S ribosomal RNA", at positions 35 to 154 of the family's 154-position model. The record is from RNAcentral.